This is a long non-coding RNA of Oryza brachyantha (malo sina), 1580 nucleotides long. RefSeq lists it as uncharacterized. The record is from RefSeq and is a predicted model, not a curated record. NCBI's taxonomy places the organism in Eukaryota, Viridiplantae, Streptophyta, Magnoliopsida, Poales, Poaceae. The transcript is spliced from 5 exons.
ACCACCCAUCCACCCCCGCACGUGCAGAGAGAAAAAAAUGUCUAAAAAAAAAAUCUCCAAAUCGGCGACGACGAGCCGCGGCGGCGGCGGCGGCGCGGCGGAGUGGGAGGGAGCGGUUGCGACGACGAGGGGAGGUGGGGCGGCGGUGCCUGCGGGUGGUGGCUCCAAACUCGAAAGGGCAGCACAAGGUUGGUGCGGUGCGACGAUCUCAUCAUCCCACCUCCCCGGCGAUCUCUCUCCCCCCCCUCCAUUCUGGCCAUUGUUGCGGUGCUGUUGCCCCCCCGUCGUUUCGCGGCGGAUCCGUCCAGGCAAGUAUCAUAAAUAAUAUCCGGAAUAUGAUGGAAUAUGACAAAGUUCUUGGGAAGCUGAAUGUAUUGGAGUUCCUCCUAAAUUUUAGGAGCUAACUAGCAGCAGUGAGCUAUUAUUUUUGUCAUAAAAGCAGGUAGAACAUUUGCCUUCCCUUUAUGUUUGGCAAAUGUAGAACUCAAAACUGAAUUGACCAGCUUUGUUCUGGCAAGUUCAUCUGAUUUAUCAUAAGGAAGCAACGGUUAGUGAAAGAGUCACAAUCUGAGUUUCAAGAAAAUGGCAGAUUCUCGUAUAAUCGAUGACUGGAAGAUGGCAUUGAAGAAGCAUCGACAUACAAACUUGAUAAUAGACAAUAAAGAACACAUAAGUGUUCCAGACUAUCCUGUGAUUUGUCCCUCUAGGAAUCGCUGGAUGCCAUACUUCCUAGGUAAAAUACCCUUCAAAAGAAAAGGUAAGCUGUAGCUUGCUAGGCCAAGCAAGCAUCGUGUGUGGAUGGAGCCAUGGAGGUGUACUUUCAAGUUCUUUAUAUCUGAGAGGGACUCUGUACGCAAUAUGGAAGUACUUGUGCAGGCCCAUGCCCAUAUGUGUACUUUGAGUACUCCACAGUAAGUUGCUCCAUCGAAGUGCCAAACCCCCCCAAACUGUCGUAACUCACAAUAAUGGCCUUGCCUCCUCUUCCCUCUUUGCCACGCCACCAAUGUAUGUUCAUACAAGAUGAUGAAUGGAGUUGGUGUCGGCGGUGGACUGUGGUACCUGUGGUCUGCAGAUUUUUCGGGAGAAGAUGGAUAGUGUUUCGAGAGAAGAUAAAAUAUGGAGUGCUGUAACCAAGAGUUGAUGGUGGAUCUUGACUAGAUGAAAUGCACUAAUGCAAGGGGAAGGUGUUGGGAUUCUGUUUCCUGGAUCUUGACCAAGGUCAGUUUUCCAGGUUUUUUUUCAGUUCAAGUUGUAUCAAACCCAGCAAAAGGCUUUUGUUACCUUGUCAGCUUCCGGUGCCUCUGUUUGUGGAACAAACUAGUUUGGUUUAUUCAGUAACCCAGGGGUUUACUUUUUUUUCGGGCUUGUGUAUAUGAAAGUUUCAGACCAUGAUCUAAGCAGCAAUCACAUCGUCAUUCAUGUCCUUUAAUCUGGAGUAGACUUUGCUUUCAUCUACACCUGAAUGUCUCAUGGAGCCUUAUUGCUGGAGCACAUGGGUUAUAUAUAAUUCAUUAGUAUUCCCUCCUUUCUAAAAAUACUUAAUCCUUCUUAUCCUAGUUUAACGUAUUGGAGUUUGUUAA